This 903-nucleotide ribosomal RNA is filed under the name Triticum aestivum (bread wheat). Its description in RNAcentral is "partial small subunit ribosomal RNA". The record is from RNAcentral. Lineage: Eukaryota; Viridiplantae; Streptophyta; Magnoliopsida; Poales; Poaceae.
AUGCUCCGCAUCGGUAUUAUUCGUCCUAGUAACAGCUCGUUUGCUUCCCCAGUUCUGCUAGUUUGCAAAAAGGAUGGAACAUGGCGUUUUUGCGUUGAUUAUCGGCAGCUCAAUGCAAUCACACUUAAGAGCAAACACCCCAUGCCUAUAGUGGACGAGUUUUUGGAUGAACUUGCAGGGUCAGUCUGGUUUACAAAAUUGGAUUUGCUAUCAGGCUACCAUCAACUCCGAAUUGCUGAAGGGGACGAAUUCAAGACAGCCUUUUGUACUCAUCAAGGUCUUUACAAAUUUUUGGUGGUGCCCUUUGGAGUGACAGGAGGUCCAUUUUCUUUCCAAGGAUGGAUGUAUGCUGUGUUGGAACCAUUGCUGCGAAAAGGGGUGUUGGUCUUUAUGGACGACAUUUUGACCCACAACUCGACGUUGCAAGAGCACGUUAGCCAACUCCGUGCAGUUUUCCAACUCCUGAAAGAGAACAAGGUGGUGAUCAAACGGUCCAAGUGCGAGUUUGCUACCAAACAAAUCGAAUACCUGGGGCAUCAAAUCAGUGUCGAUGGCGUCGCUACGGAUUCUGCCAAGAUCGCAGCAGUCCAGUCUUGGCCUACACCAACAAACACCAGGACCUUGCGUGGAUUUCUCGGUUUGAUAGGAUACUACCGGAAAUUCAUCCAACACUACGGCAUGAUAAGCAAACCAUUGAUUGCACUCCUCUGCAAGGGAGUGUUGUUCCAGUGGACCCUAGAUGCAGAUAAGGCCUUUCAAUUGUUGAAAUCCGCAUUGACACAAGCUCCGGUUCUAGCCCUUCCUUAUUUUCAUGAUACCUUCGUUCUGGAGACGGAUGCAUGUAACACAGGGAUUGGGGCAGUAUUGAUGCAGCGAGGGCACCCUGUGGCUUACCUUAGUUGA